UAGGAAUUCCAUUUCUAGGGCUAAACAGA
Molecule: non-coding RNA, 29 nt
Filed under: Rattus norvegicus (Norway rat)
Lineage: Eukaryota; Metazoa; Chordata; Mammalia; Rodentia; Muridae
Source: RNAcentral